GACAACCCAAGAGAUUGGGCGGUUCCCCUUCGGGGGACAGGGUGACAGGUGGUGCAUGGUUGUCGUCAGCUCGUGUCGUGAGAUGUUGGGUUAAGUCCCGCAACGAGCGCAACCCUCGCCUCUAGUUGCCAGCAUUCGGUUGGGCACUCUAGAGGGACUGCCGGCGACAAGUCGGAGGAAGUGGGGAUGACGUCAAAUCAUCAUGCCCCUUAUGACCUGGGCUACACACGUGCUACAAUGGGCGGUACAAAGGGCUGCGAACCCGCGAGGGGGAGCGAAUCCCAAAAAGCCGCUCUCAGUUCGGAUUGCAGGCUGCAACUCGCCUGCAUGAAGCCGGAAUCGCUAGUAAUCGCGGAUCAGCAUGCCGCGGUGAAUACGUUCCCGGGCCUU
RNAcentral lists this ribosomal RNA (390 nucleotides) under uncultured Geobacillus sp. RNAcentral's name for it is "bacterial SSU rRNA". It matches the Rfam family "Bacterial small subunit ribosomal RNA", at positions 993 to 1382 of the family's 1533-position model. The record is from RNAcentral. Lineage: Bacteria; Bacillati; Bacillota; Bacilli; Caryophanales; Anoxybacillaceae.